Molecule: ribosomal RNA, 126 nt
Filed under: Oryctolagus cuniculus (rabbit)
Lineage: Eukaryota; Metazoa; Chordata; Mammalia; Lagomorpha; Leporidae
Source: RNAcentral
UGCCUACACCAUACCACCCUGAAUGCGUCCAGUCUUGUCUGAUCUCGGAAGCUAAGCAGGGUCAGGCCUGGUUAGUACUUGGAUGGGAGAGACAGCACCCUACAGGAAGCUGUCAAGUCUAGUCAG